RNAcentral lists this ribosomal RNA (459 nucleotides) under uncultured bacterium. RNAcentral describes it as "SSU rRNA". It matches the Rfam family "Bacterial small subunit ribosomal RNA", at positions 26 to 518 of the family's 1533-position model. The record is from RNAcentral.
AGAAUCAACGCUGGCGGCGUGCCUAACACAUGCAAGUCGAACGAGAAAGUGGAGCAAUCCAUGAGUAAAGUGGCGCACGGGUGAGUAACACGUGACUAACCUACCCUUGAGUGGGGAAUAACUGAGGGAAACCUUCGCUAAUACCGCAUAACACCUACGGGUCAAAGGAGCAAUUCGCUUAAGGAGGGGGUCGCGGCAGAUUAGCUAGUUGGCGGGGUAAUGGCCCACCAAGGCAGUGAUCUGUAUCCGGCCUGAGAGGGCGCACGGACACACUGGAACUGAAACACGGUCCAGACUCCUACGGGAGGCAGCAGUGGGGAAUUUGCGCAAUGGGGGAAACCCUGACGCAGCAACGCCGCGUGGAGGAUGAAGACCCUUGGGUCGUAAACUCCUUUCGAUCGGGACGAUUAUGACGGUACCGGAAGAAGAAGCCCCGGCUAACUUCGUGCCAGCAGCCGC